UACGUAGGGUGCGAGCGUUGCCCGGAUUUACUGGGCGUAAAGGGCGCGUAGGCGGCUUAACAAGUCACUUGUGAAAUCUCCGGGCUUAACUCGGAACGGCCAAGUGAAACUGUCAAGCUAGAGUGCAGAAGGGGCAAUCGGAAUUCUUGGUGUAGCGGUGAAAUGCGUAGAUAUCAAGAGGAACACCUGAGGUGAAGACGGGUUGCUGGGCUGACACUGACGCUGAGGCGCGAAAGCCAGGGGAGCAAACGGG
RNAcentral lists this ribosomal RNA (253 nucleotides) under uncultured bacterium. Its description in RNAcentral is "partial 16S ribosomal RNA". It matches the Rfam family "Bacterial small subunit ribosomal RNA", at positions 524 to 776 of the family's 1533-position model. The record is from RNAcentral.